UACGGGGGGGGCAAGCGUUGUUCGGAAUUACUGGGCGUAAAGGGCGCGUAGGCGGUUCGAUAAGUCAGCUGUGAAAACCAUGGGCUUAACUCAUGGCCUGCAGUUGAGACUGUCGGGCUGGAGUGUGGGAGAGGAGAGUGGAAUUCCUGGUGUAGCGGUGAAAUGCGUAGAUAUCAGGAGGAACACCGGUGGCGAAGGCGGCUCUCUGGACCACAACUGACGCUGAGGCGCGAAAGCCAGGGGAGCAAACGGG
Molecule: ribosomal RNA, 253 nt
Filed under: uncultured bacterium
Lineage: Bacteria
Description: partial 16S ribosomal RNA
Rfam family: Bacterial small subunit ribosomal RNA
Source: RNAcentral